CUGCUGUUUUGCCGUGCGUCUCCAUUUCUCAUCCCAGUUCGCCUCUUCCUGCCUCUCCUCUCACCUCGUCACCACCGGCCAACAAGCUAUUUAUCCCCCGAGGCUGCGAGAUGGCGAGUUCAGCUUCCCGGCCUUUCCUGGGCUACAGAGAUCUUGGAGGCGGCCGCAUGCGCAGAGCGAGGAGCCGGAGUCGGCUGGUCCGCGCCCUCCACCUGGGCCUGGGCCGAGGGCUCGCUGGGGUCUGACGGCUAUGCUUGGUGAAAGUUGCUUGGAGGCUGGAGAGUGAGGACUGCGAGGGACAUAGCUGAUGACUCUUUAACAAGACAAGGUUUUCCGGUUUCCUUACCUUGAAAACUCCAAGGGAACUGCCCUGUAUUUUGGAAAUGCUUAGCCUAAGGUCUAACUAGCAAAACAGUCAUCUGAUUAUCUGCAGAGUUGGGUAAGUUAAUGACUUCAGAAGCCUUUCCUUACACGAUGUAGCAGAUAUCACUAACAGGUUUUUAAAGUCAAUUUGUAAUUUUGAUGGGUGUUUGCAGCUUAAUGUGGGCUGUUAGGCUGCACUCCCUCUAGCCAUGAGUGCACACUGCUGGUCCUUGCUGUGGACCAAGUGCUGUAGCUCAUGACUUCUCUGACAUGAACUCCCCUCUGUACCAGAGGAUUCAAGGCAGAAACGGUAGCUCAGGUGAUUUUAGGCUUCCUGGUCCAGGAUGAAACCUAAUCUGAGUGGACAUCUGUGGAUGAGAAAUGCGGAUAUGGGACUGAGACCAGCUUUUAGGAAUAUGCUUUGCUGGUGGAAUAUUAGGACAGAACUAACUCACUGGUCCACACUUCUUUUUCAGGAGAGGAGCAUCUCAGGGAAGACGUUGGCAAAGGAGAACUGACUACGAAAAUACCUGCGAGCAGAUGCUUAAUAUACAUGCCCUGUUUUUGUUUUUUUGCCAGUCCUGGAGGGCUUAGACUCAGGG
Molecule: long non-coding RNA, 965 nt
Organism: Perognathus longimembris pacificus (Pacific pocket mouse)
Lineage: Eukaryota; Metazoa; Chordata; Mammalia; Rodentia; Heteromyidae
Exons: 4
Source: RefSeq, a predicted model, not a curated record